UUGGCCUACUUUUAUGUCAAAAAAGUAUCCAGAAGAUUUAACCCCAGAAAUGAGAGAAGCUUUACAAAAUGAAGGUGGUGAUAGUUAUGACCAAUGCAAUGAAGAUGACAAAUCUGAAAAUUAUGCUGCCAAAGAUACGAGUAGCAUCCAAGAAGAUUCAAAUGAUGACGUGACCUCUCGAACAAAUGAAGUGCAUAACAUGGUUCAUGUCGAGCAGCAGCAACAACAAUCUGGCCAUAGAAGUCUUGGACGAACUCAAGUCCAUACAUCUGCACCACAUGAGCAAAC
Zea mays is the source of this 288-nucleotide long non-coding RNA. RefSeq lists it as uncharacterized. The transcript is spliced from 3 exons. NCBI's taxonomy places the organism in Eukaryota, Viridiplantae, Streptophyta, Magnoliopsida, Poales, Poaceae. The record is from RefSeq and is a predicted model, not a curated record.